Molecule: transfer RNA, 73 nt
Filed under: Stegodyphus mimosarum
Lineage: Eukaryota; Metazoa; Arthropoda; Arachnida; Araneae; Eresidae
Rfam family: tRNA
About the family: Transfer RNA (tRNA) molecules are approximately 80 nucleotides in length. Their secondary structure includes four short double-helical elements and three loops (D, anti-codon, and T loops). Further hydrogen bonds mediate the characteristic L-shaped molecular structure. tRNAs have two regions of fundamental functional importance: the anti-codon, which is responsible for specific mRNA codon recognition, and the 3' end, to which the tRNAs corresponding amino acid is attached (by aminoacyl-tRNA synthetases). tRNAs cope with the degeneracy of the genetic code in two manners: having more than one tRNA (with a specific anti-codon) for a particular amino acid; and 'wobble' base-pairing, i.e. permitting non-standard base-pairing at the 3rd anti-codon position.
Source: Rfam by way of RNAcentral
CCUUUCGUGGUGUAAUUGGUAGUACAUCCAGCUAGUUAUCGGAAGGUCAAGGGUUCGAAUCCCUGCGAAGGUA